This 406-nucleotide ribosomal RNA is filed under the name uncultured bacterium. RNAcentral's name for it is "partial 16S ribosomal RNA". It matches the Rfam family "Bacterial small subunit ribosomal RNA", at positions 30 to 526 of the family's 1533-position model. The record is from RNAcentral.
AUUGAACGCUGGCGGCAGGCCUAACACAUGCAAGUCGAACGAGUGGCGGACGGGUGAGUAAUGUCUGGGAAUCUACCUUAUGGAGGGGGAUAACUACUGGAAACUGUAGCUAAUACCGCCUACCAUCGGAUGUGCCCAGGUGGGAUUAGCUAGUUGGUGGGGUAAAGGCUCACCAAGGCGACGAUCCCUAGCUGGUCUGAGAGGAUGACCAGCCACACUGGGACUGAGCCACGGCCCAGACUCCUACGGGAGGCAGCAGUGGGGAAUAUUGCGCAAUGGGGGCAAGCCUGACGCAGCCAUGCCGCGUGUAUGAAGAAGGCCUUCGGGUUGUAAAGUUCUUUCGGUAGGGAGGCGUUACCCACAGAAGAAGCACCGGCUAACUCCGUGCCAGCAGCCGCGGUAAUAC